Long non-coding RNA from Mytilus californianus (California mussel), 422 nucleotides. RefSeq lists it as uncharacterized. The transcript is spliced from 2 exons. The record is from RefSeq and is a predicted model, not a curated record. Lineage: Eukaryota; Metazoa; Mollusca; Bivalvia; Mytilida; Mytilidae.
UAAAAAUAACGCACGGGGUUUUCCGCGAUAUCGUCAUCUGCGGAACAUUUGAUUGGUUCCUGUCAUAUUAAUGCGCCGUCGUAUCUCGGAUGUUUCAAAUAGUUCUAGUUUUGGUUUUGUAUUCCGUUUUAGAAGCAUAGAAUGGCAAGUUUGUAAUGUCAAAAUAACGUUAAACGUACGUAAAUGUUUAUUCCUUAUUAUUAACGGAAAGAGUUUAUCCAGGGAGAAAAAAUACUUUGUUUCAUUUCAAAAUUGCUAUAUAUACGAAACUAAAUGUAAGCAUCACUAUCAUUCAUGGAUGAAAAUGGAAGAAGAACUCGAUGAUCUUUGAGAUAAAUCAUCUGAGUAUGAACAGUGGAAUAGACAGCAGAAUGAACUUUAAAAUGUUUUUAAUUUGUUUAAAUAAAUGAUUUAUGGUUUGA